GACGAACGCUGGCGGCGUGCUUAACACAUGCAAGUCGAACGGAGUGGCGAACGGGUGAGUAACACGUGGGUGAUCUGCCUUGCACUUCGGGAUAAGCUUGGGACACUGGGUCUAAUACCGGAUAGUGCAAGAUGAGCUCGCGGCCUAUCAGCUUGUAGGUGGGGUAAUGUCCUACUAAGGCGUCGACGGGUAGCCGGCCUGAGAGUGUGUACGGACACAUAGGGACUGAGGGAGGGACCGGAGGGCUACGGGAGAGAGCAGUGGAGAAUGGUGCACAAGGGGCGGAAGCAGGAUGGAGCGAGGCCGCGUGGGAGAUCAAGGUCUUCGAGUAGUAAACUCCGUUCGAAAGGGACGCGGGACCUGUAUAGGAAGCACCGGCUAACUACGUGCCAGCAGCCGCGGUAAUAC
Molecule: ribosomal RNA, 408 nt
Filed under: uncultured bacterium
Lineage: Bacteria
Description: partial 16S ribosomal RNA
Rfam family: Bacterial small subunit ribosomal RNA
Source: RNAcentral